RNAcentral lists this ribosomal RNA (530 nucleotides) under Monomia gladiator. RNAcentral's name for it is "partial large subunit ribosomal RNA". It matches the Rfam family "Archaeal large subunit ribosomal RNA", at positions 1921 to 2666 of the family's 2987-position model. Lineage: Eukaryota; Metazoa; Arthropoda; Malacostraca; Decapoda; Portunidae. The record is from RNAcentral.
GUCUAUUAUGGUGAUAUUUAUAGUCUAGCCUGCUCAGUGACAUAAAAGUGUUAAAUAGCCGCGGUAUCCUGACCGUGCAAAGGUAGCAUAAUCAUUAGUUUUUUAAUUGGAAACUAGAAUGAAUGGUUGGACAAGAAAAAAACUGUCUCUUUUAUUAAAAUUGAAAUUAACUUUUAAGUGAAAAGGCUUAAAAUUUACUAAGGGGACGAUAAGACCCUAUAAAGCUUUAUAAAUUCAGGAAUUUUAGAUAUUUUAUAUAUAAAUUUAUUUUUUGAUAAUUUAUUUGGUUGGGGCGACAAGGGUAUAAUUAUAAAUAACUGCCAUUAAUGUUUAUACAUAUAUUUUUGAUUUAAAUUGAUAUAGUAGUUGAUCCUUUUUAAGGAUUUAAAGAUCAAGUUACUUUAGGGAUAACAGCGUAAUUUUUUCUGAGAGUCCUUAUCAAAGAAGAAGUUUGCGACCUCGAUGUUGAAUUAAAAUGUCUUUAUAGUGCAGCAGCUAUAAAAGAAGGUCUGUUCGACCUUUAAUUUUUU